RNAcentral lists this ribosomal RNA (494 nucleotides) under uncultured bacterium. Its description in RNAcentral is "bacterial SSU rRNA". It matches the Rfam family "Bacterial small subunit ribosomal RNA", at positions 383 to 896 of the family's 1533-position model. The record is from RNAcentral.
CUGAUCCAGCAAUGCCGCGUGCGUGAAGAAGGCCUUAGGGUUGUAAAGCGCUUUCACCUGCGAUGAUGAUGACAGUAGCGGGAGAAGAAGCCCCGGCUAACUCCGUGCCAGCAGCCGCGGUAAUACGGAGGGGGCUAGCGUUGUUCGGAAUCACUGGGCGUAAAGGGCGUGUAGGCGGCGGAUUUAGUUAGGCGUGAAAGCCCCGGGCUCAACCUGGGAACUGCGCUUAAUACUGGUCUGCUGGAGUCCGGGAGAGGCGAGUGGAAUAUCCAGUGUAGAGGUGAAAUUCGUAGAUAUUGGAUGGAACACCGAUGGCGAAGGCAGCUCGCUGGACCGGAACUGACGCUGAGGCGCGAAAGCGUGGGGAGCAAACAGGAUUAGAUACCCUGGUAGUCCACGCUGUAAACGAUGUUCACUAGACGUCGGGGGUUAGGCCUUCGGUGUCGCAGCUAACGCAUUAAGUGAACCGCCUGGGGAGUACGGCCGCAAGGUUA